CAGUCGAACGAACUCUGGUAUUGAUUGGUGCUUGCAUCAUGAUUUACAUUUGAGUGAGUGGCGAACUGGUGAGUAACACGUGGGAAACCUGCCCAGAAGCGGGGGAUAACACCUGGAAACAGAUGCUAAUACCGCAUAACAACUUGGACCGCAUGGUCCGAGUUUGAAAGAUGGCUUCGGCUAUCACUUUUGGAUGGUCCCGCGGCGUAUUAGCUAGAUGGUGAGGUAACGGCUCACCAUGGCAAUGAUACGUAGCCGACCUGAGAGGGUAAUCGGCCACAUUGGGACUGAGACACGGCCCAAACUCCUACGGGAGGCAGCAGUAGGGAAUCUUCCACAAUGGACGAAAGUCUGAUGGAGCAACGCCGCGUGAGUGAAGAAGGGUUUCGGCUCGUAAAACUCUGUUGUUAAAGAAGAACAUAUCUGAGAGUAACUGUUCAGGUAUUGACGGUAUUUAACCAGAAAGCCACGGCUAACUACGUGCCAGCAGCCGCGGUAAUACGUAGGUGGCAAGCGUUGUCCGGAUUUAUUGGGCGUAAAGCGAGCGCAGGCGGUUUUUUAAGUCUGAUGUGAAAGCCUUCGGCUCAACCGAAGAAGUGCAUCGGAAACUGGGAAACUUGAGUGCAGAAGAGGACAGUGGAACUCCAUGUGUAGCGGUGAAAUGCGUAGAUAUAUGGAAGAACACCAGUGGCGAAGGCGGCUGUCUGGUCUGUAACUGACGCUGAGGCUCGAAAGUAUGGGUAGCAAACAGGAUUAGAUACCCUGGUAGUCCAUACCGUAAACGAUGAAUGCUAAGUGUUGGAGGGUUUCCGCCCUUCAGUGCUGCAGCUAACGCAUUAAGCAUUCCGCCUGGGGAGUACGGCCGCAAGGCUGAAACUCAAAGGAAUUGACGGGGGCCCGCACAAGCGGUGGAGCAUGUGGUUUAAUUCGAAGCUACGCGAAGAACCUUACCAGGUCUUGACAUACUAUGCAAAUCUAAGAGAUUAGACGUUCCCUUCGGGGACAUGGAUACAGGUGGUGCAUGGUUGUCGUCAGCUCGUGUCGUGAGAUGUUGGGUUAAGUCCCGCAACGAGCGCAACCCUUAUUAUCAGUUGCCAGCAUUAAGUUGGGCACUCUGGUGAGACUGCCGGUGACAAACCGGAGGAAGGUGGGGAUGACGUCAAAUCAUCAUGCCCCUUAUGACCUGGGCUACACACGUGCUACAAUGGAUGGUACAACGAGUUGCGAACUCGCGAGAGUAAGCUAAUCUCUUAAAGCCAUUCUCAGUUCGGAUUGUAGGCUGCAACUCGCCUACAUGAAGUCGGAAUCGCUAGUAAUCGCGGAUCAGCAUGCCGCGGUGAAUACGUUCCCGGGCCUUGUACACACCGCCCGUCACACCAUGAGAGUUUGUAACACCCAAAGUCGGUGGGGUAACCUUUUAGGAACCAG
Molecule: ribosomal RNA, 1428 nt
Filed under: Lactiplantibacillus plantarum
Lineage: Bacteria; Bacillati; Bacillota; Bacilli; Lactobacillales; Lactobacillaceae
Description: bacterial SSU rRNA
Rfam family: Bacterial small subunit ribosomal RNA
Source: RNAcentral